RNAcentral lists this ribosomal RNA (253 nucleotides) under uncultured Aquicella sp. Its description in RNAcentral is "partial 16S ribosomal RNA". It matches the Rfam family "Bacterial small subunit ribosomal RNA", at positions 524 to 776 of the family's 1533-position model. Lineage: Bacteria; Pseudomonadati; Pseudomonadota; Gammaproteobacteria; Legionellales; Coxiellaceae. The record is from RNAcentral.
UACAGAGGGUGCGAGCGUUAAUCGGAGUUACUGGGCGUAAAGGGCGCGUAGGCGGUUUGAUGUGUGUGAUGUGAAAGCCCUGGGCUUAACCUGGGAAGUGCAUCGCGAACUAUUGAACUGGAGUCUGGGAGAGGGUGGCGGAAUUUCCGGUGUAGCGGUGAAAUGCGUAGAGAUCGGAAGGAACGUCGAUGGCGAAGGCAGCCACCUGGCCUAAGACUGACGCUGAGGCGCGAAAGCGUGGGGAGCGAACAGG